This is a long non-coding RNA of Juglans microcarpa x Juglans regia, 366 nucleotides long. RefSeq lists it as uncharacterized. Lineage: Eukaryota; Viridiplantae; Streptophyta; Magnoliopsida; Fagales; Juglandaceae. The record is from RefSeq and is a predicted model, not a curated record. The transcript has 3 exons.
UCACUUCUGCUUCUCCCACCGGUCUCCACGCAGCUGCUGUCGAAAGUAGAUCCCAGCCGAGAGCCACCUCCACCUACGUCUCACUCUCUCGUGUCGUUCGGCAUGCACCCCAAGGGUUUGCUGUCAACCCGUGGCAUCGCACGGUCACUUGCUCUUCUGCAAGCUCCUCGGUGGCGAUGGGCAUGGCUUCCGUGAGUGCCGCCGUGCCACGCGUCCGCGAGAGGACUUCUUUUUCUCCACGGCAUGCUGCCGUUAUUUCCUUCCUCCACCGUGCGACACGCACGCCAUUCGAACCGCCGCAUUUGGCCUAUAAGUAGACCACGGCUUCUCAUGGUUUGGGGAUCUCCGAAUUGAGUGUUUUGUUUG